Monodelphis domestica (gray short-tailed opossum) is the source of this 1248-nucleotide long non-coding RNA. RefSeq lists it as uncharacterized. NCBI's taxonomy places the organism in Eukaryota, Metazoa, Chordata, Mammalia, Didelphimorphia, Didelphidae. The record is from RefSeq and is a predicted model, not a curated record.
CCUGUCCGCAACAGUGGAAGAGCUUGGGGUUGAACAGUUUGAAUAUCAUGGAGGAUCGCAGACUUUUGUCUUCUGGAAUUAGGCCAUCACAUGCCAAAAAGGCCACCAGGGAAUCCAUUUCUUCUUUACAAGACAGGAAAUAGGAAGUUUUCACAUAAGAGUAUUCAGUGGAAUUCAGGUCCAAUUCUUUAUCCACUAUACCAUCUAAUCACCUUGAAUGGGAGGCAGAGAUAUGGAAAUGCACAGUUCUACUUUUUUUGAAGUGUUGGAAGAUUAUGAAUGAAGAAUGUUGUGUGUGUUGUCAGAUGUAGUUGUUUUUUUUUCCAUAUGGUAUUGUUUUAAAGUUUUUCUUUUUAGUGAGUAUUCAGUAGGUGGGGCAAUACAUCCAGAAAAUAGAACAACAGGGGGCAGCUGGGUGGCUCAGUGGAUUGAGAACCAGGCCCAGAAAUGAGUCCCUAGGUUCAAAUCUGGCCUCAGACACUUCCCAGCUGUGUGACCCUGGGCAAGUCACUUAACCCCCAUUGCCUAGCCCUUAUCACUCUUCUGCCUUGGAACCAAUACACAGUAUUGAUUCCAAGAAGGAAGGUAGGGAUAUUAAAAAAAUAGAAUAACACAUUAAUUUAAAAAAAAAACACAAAUGCUACACAAUUUCUCAAAUAAAAAAUAUCCCAGUUUUUUCUACAUUUACAGUCUUGGGCUAAUAUUAUCAUUCAUUCAUCCUGUGACCUUCCAAGACAUAGGUAAUUAUGUCUAAAUCAAUGGUUUACUUAUCUAAUUUUAUGUCAUAGGAUAAACAAUAACAAAAAUGCAAACUUAAACAACUUUAACAUUUUAACUCUCACCAAAUAUUGAAGAGACUAUGAGAAUAGAAGCACAUUGAUAUCCACUUAAUUUUUAACCCAUUACCCUUUCCUGUGCAGAUUAUUUGUUGAACCUUUUGUGUGCUUAUAGAUCAAAAUGAGUACACUAUUAUUUAAGCACUUGAUGCAAUCAUUCAAAACCUUCCAGAGGACUUCCGGGUUAACAUGGCUGCAAUCUAGACUCAAAUCGCUUCCUCUCCCCAGCACCGAACGAAAUAGACUACCUCAAAAGAGCAUAAAAAUCACCUUUGGAAGAACAGAGGGACUCUCCAGUACCCCACAGAAACGAAGGUACGUGGGGCUUGAACAUUUCCACACUAUAAGGAGGAGGAAAAACUUGCACAAAAACCGUGAACUGAGCAGCCCCUCCCUCCCCAGCCCCCCACCA